GUGCUCACUUCAGCAGCACAAAUGCUACAUUCUGAGCGAUGCAGAGAAGGUCAGCAUGGCCCCUGCCAACAGGAACCUGAAAACAGGCAGGAGUAGCCGUCCUAA
RNAcentral lists this small nuclear RNA (105 nucleotides) under Cavia porcellus (domestic guinea pig). Lineage: Eukaryota; Metazoa; Chordata; Mammalia; Rodentia; Caviidae. The record is from RNAcentral.